Coturnix japonica (Japanese quail) is the source of this 2036-nucleotide non-coding RNA. NCBI's taxonomy places the organism in Eukaryota, Metazoa, Chordata, Aves, Galliformes, Phasianidae. The record is from RefSeq and is a predicted model, not a curated record.
CAGCGGGACGCAGCGAUCUGCAGCGCUGCGCGUGCACGGCUCCGGCAGCGCGUGCCCGCCGCUUCCCGCCUUUUCGUUUCCCGCCUCAGAGCCUCGCGCGCAACAUGGCGCCGUGUGGAGCCGCGCAGCGUGAGGUGAUGGCGGGGCACGGCGCGGGCCGCGCUGUGUGUGGGGCUGUGAGCAACCCCCAGAUUUUAAAAACAAACUGAGGAUUCACUUCAGCGUCCACUGAAGCCACAAAGACGAGGUCAGCUGUCUCAAGCACCAGCUCCACGACUGCUCUCCAAGUUGGCAGCAAUCUGCUUCUCAGUUGGACAGGCUCAUUUGAAGCAGCAAACUUUGCCCGCGGAAAAUGUUCUUUGUAUCAGGGCGGCCUUUACAUUUAAAGACACCUUUUGAAUGCUUCUCCACAGUGGAUGAUACUGUGUGGUUGUUCCCUACUUCAGUACGAAAUCUGAGGGAAAAGAAGCAGCUCUCCCCAUUCCCAAGAAAGAUUUAUCGGACAGAGGUGACGUCUUUGACCCAGUUUUGUCCUGCCAGGGUCUCUCUGAACGCCUCCAUGAGCUGCAGAGGGAGAGGAGCACCGGUGUGUUCAGGUAUCUCUUUCUCUCCUCGCCACAGCCACGCUGCCCUUUUGGCUCUGGGAUGCUCACUGACGCCGUGCUGCCAGCUGGGCCUGGGGCAGCCGGGCACCCCAAGGUGCUGCAUCCCCCUGCACUGAGCUGGCUGGGACAGGGGGCCCUGGGGAGCCGGGGGCUGGCAGGGGCUGUGUGCCUCGCAGGGUGCCGGCGGCCCGCGGGCCUGGGGGCAGGGCGGCUGUCUAUUUUUAGUGAGGGUUUUAUAGAGUGGAUCCCUGCGGUCUGGCUCCACACUGAAAUAUUGUCCUAGUCUCAAUGACAUAAACACAGGGCCAGCCUGUGAUCCUGGCGCCAGCUUCAGCUUAGGGAAUGUGAAUGAAAGUACCAGUGGGGUCCAGGCAAGAAGGAGAAGAAAAAAAAUCCCGACUGUAAUUACAAAUAAAUCCCAAACCCUUUCGCUCUCAUGGCUCACUUAGUACAGCAAAUAGCCUCUGAUUCUCUACAAAUAAGACCCAGCUUAGUUACUGACAGAUCUACCAAGAGGCAGUUAAUGGAAUAAUGACUAAGGGAAGCUUAGGGUAAUUUACAAACGGUUGCCGGUGUUGGAGGGCGAUCGCCCCCACCUCACCCCCGCCCUGCUGCUGCAGCCCUAAGCUGCUGGGCAAGACCAAAGCCUCAGCACACAAGGGCUGCAGGAAGGCUGUGUGUUUAUUUGCUUAUUUAAGAGAUCUGACGUGGGAGGAUGACAGGCAAACUCCAGUACCGGGAGCUGAAUUGUGCCCCUGGAGUGAGGGACUGAGGUGAGGGUCUACAGAGCAAGGUUAUUCUUACCUUCUGUUCUGAUGAGAAAAGUGAGGAAAUCUUAAGUGAAAGUGGCGUAGAAAGCCAGCUCUGCCAUGAGAUUCUACCAAAGCAGCAGUGUGGCUUGUUCUGUCACAAAGGUACGUCUCUUCGAAUCACUUGUGCAAACUGAUAACCUAAUAUUUGAGGUGAAGUCCUCGGUGUACUUAAAAAAUUGAUUUUCAUGUUCAGAUUAUGGGGAGCUCUUGUGAAACUCCUGCUGUGGUCAUGGCAAUUAUGGUUUUUGUUUGGUUUUGAUCUUUUUGUAAAGAAAAACACAACACUACUCCAAAAACUCAUUAAUUUAUCAAGAACGGGAAUAACAGGAACAGUGUUCCACGUGGGAAGCAAUUGCACACACGUACACACACACGUACAGAUGUGUGCACAGAAUGAAUCCAGGUAACGGUUAAAGGAUGCUCCUUUGGGUCUGGCAUCUUACUGAUGUGUUUAUUAUGAAAACAAGUACUUUAGAAGUUGAUGUGACUUCAGAAGGGAUGCUGAGCAUCAGGGUGUUCUGUUUGGUGCCAUUACUUCAGUCUUGCUUGAAAGAAAAUGAUCUUAAGACCAAGGUAUACAUGUGAAAUCCAGCUGAUUGUUAGUCCUGGGAUGGGUGCU